Long non-coding RNA from Eriocheir sinensis (Chinese mitten crab), 858 nucleotides. RefSeq lists it as uncharacterized. The transcript is spliced from 3 exons. The record is from RefSeq and is a predicted model, not a curated record. NCBI's taxonomy places the organism in Eukaryota, Metazoa, Arthropoda, Malacostraca, Decapoda, Varunidae.
CUGGAAAUGCCCAGAACUCCUACGAAAGCCUUGUCAAAUAGGUGUUUCUAGGUUCACGGUACAGAGGAAGGGUCACACUACCACCAGGGUCAUAGAACUACUCCUGGAAAUGCCCACAACCCCUACAAAAGCCUUGUCAAAUAGGUGUUUCUAGGUUCAUGGCACAGAAGAAGGGUCACACUACCACCAGGGUCAUAGAACUACUCCUGGAAAUGCCCACAACUCCUACGAAAGCCUUGUCAAAUAUGUGUUUCUAGGUUCAUGGUACAGAGGAAGGGUCACACUACCACCAGGGUCAUAGAACUGCUCCUGGAAAUGCCCACAACUCCUACGAAAGCCUUGUCAAAUAUGUGUUUCUAGGUUCACGGUACAGAGGAAGGGUCACACUACCACCAGGGUCAUAAAACUACUCCUGGAAAUGCCCACAACUCAUACGAAAGCCUUGUCAAAUAUGUGUUUCUAGGUUCACGGUACAGAAGAAGGGUCAGACUACCACCAGGGUCAUAGAACUGCUCCUGGAAAUGCCCACAACUCCUACGAAAGCCUUGUCAAAUAUGUGUUUUUAGGUUCACGGUACAGAGGAAGGGUCACACUACCACUAGGGUCAUAGAACUGCUCCUGGAAAUGCCCACAACUCCUACGAAAGCCUUGUCAAAUAUGUGUUUCUAGGUUCACGGUACAGAGGAAGGGUCACACUACCACCAGGGUCAUAGAACUGCUCCUGGAAAUGCCCACAACUCCUACGAAAGCCUUGUCAAAUUAGUGUUCUUGGGCGGCGAAAUGUCUUAUACUACCACCCGCUAAUGGCCGGUCUUCAGCAUUCAAAACAUUGUUAGGAAGACACACAGUUCCAUUGAA